Molecule: ribosomal RNA, 503 nt
Filed under: uncultured bacterium
Lineage: Bacteria
Description: partial 16S ribosomal RNA
Rfam family: Bacterial small subunit ribosomal RNA
Source: RNAcentral
AUUGAACGCUGGCGGCAGGCUUAACACAUGCAAGUCGAGCGGGGUGAUGGUGCUCGCACUAUCACUUAGCGGCGGACGGGUGAGUAAUGCUUAGGAAUCUGCCUAUUAGUGGGGGACAACAUCUCGAAAGGGAUGCUAAUACCGCAUACGUCCUACGGGAGAAAGCAGGGGAUCACUUGUGACCUUGCGCUAAUAGAUGAGCCUAAGUCGGAUUAGCCAGGUGGUGGGGUAAAGGCCUACCAAGGCGACGAUCUGUAGCGGGUCUGAGAGGAUGAUCCGCCACACUGGGACUGAGACACGGCCCAGACUCCUACGGGAGGCAGCAGUGGGGAAUAUUGGACAAUGGGGGGAACCCUGAUCCAGCCAUGCCGCGUGUGUGAAGAAGGCCUUAUGGUUGUAAAGCACUUUAAGCGAGGAGGAGGCUCUUUUGGUUAAUACCCAAGAUGAGUGGACGUUACUCGCAGAAUAAGCACCGGCUAACUCUGUGCCAGCCGCCGCAGUAA